AGCAUCAGCAUCGAAAGGAAAGGAGAAAGUCAUCGAGGACUAAAACGGGAGAAUUACGGUUAGUAGAAGUCAAGUGUCCCGGCUCAGCAUCUAGAACAAUCCCGACUCCAACACAAAUUUGGUGAUGUAUAUUUUUCUUUUGGGUAAAGGUGGCAUGUACAUAGGUGUUGUUUAGUCACUUGAAUAUGUAUAUUACUUUGGGUAGUGAAGGAUGAAUUAUAAAAUUUAGAUGGUUAAAUGAAAUGGUAAGGAAAGUACAUGAUAUUUUGAUACAUGAACAUUAAGUUGUUAAAUGAAUGAAGUUUUUAAUCAA
Gossypium arboreum is the source of this 313-nucleotide long non-coding RNA. RefSeq lists it as uncharacterized. The transcript has 2 exons. The record is from RefSeq and is a predicted model, not a curated record. NCBI's taxonomy places the organism in Eukaryota, Viridiplantae, Streptophyta, Magnoliopsida, Malvales, Malvaceae.